AAUCCCCAACAACUAGUAGACAUCGUUUAGGGCGUGGACUACCAGAGGUAUCUAAUCCUGUUUGCUACCCCACGCUCUUACGUGCAUGAGCGUCAGUAUUGGCCCAGGGGGCUGCCUUCGCCAUCGGUAUUCCUCCACAUCUCUACGCAUUUCACUGCUACACGUGGAAUUCUACCCCCCUCUGCCAUACUCUAGCCCGCCAGUCACAAAUGCAGUUCCCAGGUUAAGCCCGGGGAUUUCACAUCUGUCUUAGCGAACCGCCUGCGCACGCUUUACGCCCAGUAAUUCCGAUUAACGCUUGCACCCUACGUAUUACCGCGGCUGCUGGCACGUAGUUAGCCGGUGCUUAUUCUUCCGGUACCGUCAUCCCUACAGGGUAUUAGCCCAUAAGAUUUCUUUCCGGACAAAAGUGCUUUACAACCCG
This 424-nucleotide ribosomal RNA is filed under the name Paraburkholderia phenazinium. RNAcentral describes it as "partial 16S ribosomal RNA". The record is from RNAcentral. Lineage: Bacteria; Pseudomonadati; Pseudomonadota; Betaproteobacteria; Burkholderiales; Burkholderiaceae.